Ziziphus jujuba (common jujube) is the source of this 3408-nucleotide RNA transcript. It is a transcript of the gene named putative GTP diphosphokinase RSH1, chloroplastic, with no coding region annotated. The record is from RefSeq and is a predicted model, not a curated record. Lineage: Eukaryota; Viridiplantae; Streptophyta; Magnoliopsida; Rosales; Rhamnaceae. The transcript has 25 exons.
CAGCAUUGUGUGGCCUUGGCUAAAGCUUGAUAUCUCUCUCUCCCUCGCUCUCUAUCUCUCUCUCUCUCUCUCUCUCCAAAUUAUCUCUUUUGGCCAAAUUCUACGUUUUAAUUCGCAGCUUGUUUGUCUGAAAGCCGAACGUUUCGCAGACACAGGGCAACGUUCUCCGAUUCGAAGUUUAAUGAGAAUCUCUCUGAUUCUUAGCUCAACAAGACGCUCUCUACAUAAGCCUUUCGAUUUUGUUCGCUGGCUUUGAAUUUCUGUUACUUUUCUCUAUCGAGCUUCUCUCUGGGGUUUCUGGGUUGGCGUUUUUGCGAGGUUGUUUAAUGCUCAGUUCGACUCAAUGAGAUUGCUCUCUUCCAAUACAAAUGGCCUCUGCUCCUUCCAUGUCUGUUUCUUUAGAAUGUGUGAACGCAUGUAAGUUAUGGAAAGGGGAUGGGAGUGGGAGAUAUGACUGCAGUAUCCUAUCCUGUGCGUGGAAAGCUCCGAGGGCCUUGACGGGCUUCCUUGCCAGCACGGCUCAUCCUCCUUCCCAAUCUUCUUUGUCAUCCAACGCACGGAAUGGAAGAAAAACCCGGAUUAACUAUAGAUGCGAGUCCUCUAAUGCAGGAGGUUGGUCUGGUACAGAUACUCCAGAUCUUGUGCUCCUUGGAAAACUUUUUAGAUCAAGUUUACUUCAUGUUGCUUGUAAAAGAUGGCAGUUGUGCUGUUCUUCAUCAUUCUUUUCAGACACUUCUGAUGAUGUUUCUCCUGAAAGUUUAUGGGAGGAUCUUAAGCCCACGAUUUCAUACCUUUCACCUAAAGAGCUGGAUUUGGUCCAUAAUGCUCUUAAGCUGGCUUUUGAGGCUCAUGAUGGUCAAAAAAGACGUAGUGGAGAACCCUUUAUCAUUCAUCCAGUUGAAGUUGCACGGAUUCUAGGAGAACUUGAAUUGGAUUGGGAAUCCAUUGCUGCUGGAUUACUGCAUGACACAGUUGAGGAUACCAAUAUUGUGACUUUUGAAAGAAUAGAGGAGGAAUUUGGUGCCAUCGUGCGCCGCAUUGUAGAAGGAGAAACUAAGGUAUCUAAGCUGGGAAAAUUAAAGUGUAAGAAUGAAAAUGAUUCUGCACAAGAUGUAAAAGCUGAUGACCUGCGGCAGAUGUUUCUAGCCAUGACUGAAGAGGUACGCGUUAUCAUCGUCAAACUGGCCGAUAGGUUACAUAACAUGCGUACUCUUUCACAUAUGCCUCCACAUAAGCAGACCAGCAUUGCAAGGGAGACAUUGCAAGUCUUUGCUCCUCUGGCCAAGUUGCUUGGGAUGUACCAAAUCAAAUCAGAACUUGAAAAUCUUUCCUUCAUGUACAAAAAUGCUGAAGACUAUGCUAAAGUCAAGAGAAGAGUUGUGGACCUUUAUAAAGAGCAUGAGAAAGAAAUUGAGGAGGCAAACAAGAUACUGAGAAAAAAGGUGGAGGAUGAUCAGUUCUUAGACCUAUUGACUGUGAAAACUGAAGUUCGCUCUGUAUGUAAGGAACCUUACAGCAUCUAUAAAGCUGUGCUCAAGUCUAACUGUUCGAUUAAUGAAGUUAACCAAAUUGCACAGCUUCGUCUUAUUAUAAAACCAAAGACAUGCAUUGGGGUUGGGCCGUUGUGCACUCCGCAGCAGAUUUGUUACCAUGUUCUUGGGUUGGUCCAUGGAAUAUGGACUCCUAUUCCUCGUGAUAUGAAAGACUAUAUUGCAACCCCAAAACCCAAUGGGUAUCAGAGCCUCCAUACAACCGUAAUUCCUUUCCUUUAUGAGAGCACAUUUCGGCUAGAAGUGCAGAUCAGAACUGAAGAGAUGGAUCUGAUAGCUGAGAGAGGCAUUGCUGCUCAUUAUAGUGGGAGAGUAUUUGUUACUGGUUUAGUUGGACAUGCUAUGCCUAAUGGUAGAAGUUCAAGAGGGAAGACUGUUUGUCUCAAUAAUGCAAACAUUGCACUCAGGAUUGGUUGGCUCAAUGCAAUCAGAGAAUGGCAAGAGGAGUUUGUUGGCAACAUGAGCUCUAGGGAGUUUGUAGACACAAUUACAAGAGAUCUAUUAGGUAGUCGUGUCUUUGUAUUUACUCCAAGGGGAGAGAUUAAAAAUCUGCCUAAAGGAGCAACUGUUAUUGACUAUGCAUACAUGAUACACACUGAAAUUGGCAAUAAAAUGGUGGCUGCAAAGGUCAAUGGCAAUCUUGUUUCUCCCAUGCAUGUGCUUGCAAAUGCGGAAGUUGUGGAGAUAAUCACCUACAAUUCACUUUCUGGAAAAUCAGCUUUUCAGAGGCAUAAGCAGUGGCUACAACAUGCAAAAACUCGUAGUGCCAGGCACAAAAUUAUGAAGUUCUUAAGAGAGCAAGCAGCACUCUCUGCUGCUGAAAUAACGGCAGAUACAGUUAAUGUCUUCAUAGCUGAUUCUGAAGAGGAGAGUGAAGCAGAGGAGCUGCCAGAUAUCUCCAAGGAUUUUAAACCCAUGUGGGAUAAAAUCAUCACAAAUACAGUAUACUUUGAAGGUUCCUUCCACAGUAAAAAUGGAAGUGCUAGGCAUCCUAAGAUCAAUGGGAAACAUAAUAAACAUAUUCAGCAUGCAAGUUUGAAUGUUGAAGGGGAAUUGUUGCAGGGAAAUGGUGUUUCCAGGAUGAUACAAGCUAAUAUUCCAAUGUACAAAGAGGUCUUGCCUGGUUUACAAAGCUGGCAAGCCAGCAAGGUGGCAUCUUGGCACAAUAUUGAGGGGCAUUCCAUCCUAUGGCUUUCUGUGGUAUGCAUAGAUCGAAAAGGCAUGAUCGCUGAGGUCACAGCAGUUUUGGCAGCUGCUGGGAUUUCAAUUUGUUCUUGUUUGGCUGAGAUUGAUGGGGGAAGAGGAAUAGCUGCAAUGUUAUUUCAUGUUGAAGGGAACCUUGAAAGUUUGGUUAGUGCUUGCUCAAGCAUUGAUCACGUCCUUGGUGUUUUGGGAUGGUCUAUGGGUUGCAGCUGGCCACGCUCAAUUGAUAAUUCCCAUUUUCUUGAGUGCUAAUUAAUUUGUGGAACUCGUAAUUCAUCCAGAAGUAGCAGGUUUGGCUAUGAAGUUUUGUCCUUGGAAAUUGAGAUAGAAUCCGUGAAGAUUAGAUUGUGGAUUAACAGCUUCAUUUCAUCAAUUCAUUAGAUACUCGCAACCAAAUAAACAUGCAGCAGGCAAAUAUAAUUCAGUGUUCUGUAUAUAGGCCUGAAGAGUGCACAGUUAAAGAGUUAGUAUACGUUUUGUAAAGAAGAUACUUGGGGGAGGAGAGGCUGGCGAGACACUUAUACAGAUGUUGUCAAGAAGUAAAGAUUAAUGUUUGCUACAUGAUUAAAUUCUAGCAAAGCAGAGCACUACAGGUCUGAAAACUGGAAGAGCAAACUAUCUCAGAACCUUCAAUGUUUUAUUUUGCUCUCCAAAU